GACGAACGCUGGCGGCGUGCUUAACACAUGCAAGUCGAACGGAAAGGCCCUGCUUUUGUGGGGUGCUCGAGUGGCGAACGGGUGAGUAACACGUGAGUAACCUGCCCUUGACUUUGGGAUAACUUCAGGAAACUGGGGCUAAUACCGGAUAGGAGCUCCUGCUGCAUGGUGGGGGUUGGAAAGUUUCGGCGGUUGGGGAUGGACUCGCGGCUUAUCAGCUUGUUGGUGGGGUAGUGGCUUACCAAGGCUUUGACGGGUAGCCGGCCUGAGAGGGUGACCGGCCACAUUGGGACUGAGAUACGGCCCAGACUCCUACGGGAGGCAGCAGUGGGGAAUAUUGCACAAGGGGCGGGAGCCUGAUGCAGCAACGCCGCGUGCGGGAUGACGGCCUUCGGGUUGUAACCGCUUUCGCCUGUGACGAAGCGUGAGUGACGGUAAUGGGUAAAGAAGCACCGGCUAACUACGUG
RNAcentral lists this ribosomal RNA (467 nucleotides) under uncultured bacterium. RNAcentral describes it as "partial 16S ribosomal RNA". It matches the Rfam family "Bacterial small subunit ribosomal RNA", at positions 28 to 507 of the family's 1533-position model. The record is from RNAcentral.